AUUGUGUUCAGAAGGAAUUACUCAAUUUGACAUUGCACUAUCACAAAUGUAGGUUACAAUUGUGGGUAUACAAUAUAAGUGGAAACUUAAUUCGCAUUACAUCACUGAUGCGCAAUGCACAGCACUUGAACAAAAAGCAAACGAGUGUCAUCAUAUUUACACAUGCGCGCAUCUACAUAAUCAAUAGCUAGAUCGAAUACUACAUUUUCAUUAACCUGGACUAGUUUCCCCUUCCAUAAGUCAGGGAAGAAACUCAUACCAAAACAAAUAGAAAUUGGUAUAUUGCCAUUUUUGAAGUUUGCCAUGGUGGUAACCAAUAACUUAUAACCACACCUUUGAUUUUGUAUGAGUCUUUUAAGAAGGCCAAUGCUCAUCUUUGAAGGACUUGAUGCUGCUUGACACGCCUUUCCCCAGCUUGGGCAGAUUAACUACUCCUGAAACAGGAGGGUUGUCCUGGAACCUCAGAAGCUUCUGCCGAGAUUCUUUCCUCAUUGCCGCUGCAUAGUUGAUGGCAUCCCAGACCAAACCUUUGAUGAUAGUUACAGCAUAAUACCUUGCUGAAUCAAGUGGCACAUUGCUUGCAAAACCUACAGAUCAAAUUCAGAAGGCAAAUCUGUCAUUUAUGCGUUGUAUAUUUGUAUAUUAAUGCUGGUAAUAGCACCCGAAAAUUGGGUAUACAAAGCCACAAAUCAAUCAUGUAUUAGUAUAAAGCAUACUGUCAGCUUGCUAAGUCCUGUGCACCACCAACCACGUUUACUGCCAGAUUGCAGGGUAUCCUAUAUAUAAUAAGGACAAACGAAGCAUUGUUGACUGAAGGUCCACUACAGUGCAAGGCAAGCAUGAUACUGUGAAAAUGCAAAAACAUUUUACGCCAAUUACUUGCUAAUUGACCAUAUUUUUCAUUGUGUUUUCCAAGGAAGAAAUAAUCGUGGUACGCUAACUGAAGCUUCAAGUUAAAAGACAGUUUGUUGAAGUGAACACAAGAAAAGAGCAUCGCAAUCGCUGCACAGCAGCUUACCACUGUCCUCGUGGUUCCUGAUGAGGCCGUGCUGCGGCAGGCCGAUGCCGACGCCGGCGAGCGUGAAGCCGACGCUGAAUCCCACGCCGCACCCGGCGCCGACGUACCCAAUCACCUCGGGCCCGAAUCCCGGCCCCCAGCCGACGCCGCAGCCGAGGCCGAGCCCGACGCCCCAGAAGGUGCCGGCCGUCGGGUGCACGGGGUUCCAGCGCUCGUACCGCCCGAGCACGCCCUUGAUGAUCAUCCUCGGCUUCACCGGAAUCUCAACAAGAGAACGGAACAGCAAAGUCAGUAACCUCACAAAGAUUAGAUUUUUCCGUACAAAAGGAGACGGAAAGAAGGGGAAAAUGGUGGGCGGCAUUGAAGUACCAGGUUGGGCUGGGCAUUUGCUGCCGCUGACUCGGCUGGAGUUGUUCUGGCCGACGGCGGUGGUGGCGGAGCGGGUGGGGGAGGCGGCGGGUGCUGGAGCUGGGGGGAGUCGGGCAUCAGCUGCCGCUGCUGUGAAGAAGCCUCUGGGUUGGUCGUGACGCCGCCUGUUGAAGCCGUGGCGCCGCCUUGCUGGAGCCUCUUCCUCUUGGCUCUUGCCGCCGUCCGUGCGGUGCGGUGUCCCAGCUACAGAGCUUUUGGCAAAAUCUUAUCGCCGUCUCGUCGUCGUCGUCGUCGCUCGUUCAGUCGUUCCGGUGACCUGUCCCAACCCAAUCCAAAGCGUCGCCGUGGAUUGGGCCGGAAAACGGAAGUCCGUGCACUUUUGCUUUUGGGGCCGUGGACGAAUUUUCUUUUCGAAGAACCGGGCCGUGGACGAUUGUGCCCACCUUCUGCGUGUUUGCAGUAGAAUUUCGGGCCGUCAGGUUAAUCGGGCCUCUGGUAAGAUUCAACCUGAAACAGAGGAAUUCCAUGUUAGCUUGAGAACAAAAUAAUUCUUAGAGAGAUCAUUUAAUCCCUGAAGUCAUAGUUCUGUAAUAAAGUUUAGAUCAAGCAACACCAUACAUAGAUUAACAGAGAAAAAUGGAUUAACAGAGAAAAAUGUUAUCUUUCAUAAUAUUAGUAAAGAAACGGAAUCAAAACAUACAGCAGGCAAUAGGCACAUACACAAAUUACAGAUACAUCAUUUGUUCUGGAACAAACCCUACACAACCAAACUACUCGUGAUUAGGCGACAAGCGCAACAAAGCGGUGUCUUGUUCUCUCAGGCAUGGAAGGAACAACAGGAGUUAGAAAAGGUUCAGAACUGUACAAGAAAAACACUACCACUCAUCGCUUGGAAUCCUUGAAGCUGCCGAAAUCUGAAGUGCCAAAGCCACCGGAUUGUCUCCCAUAACGUGAGGAGCCUGAAUCAUCAGAGCUCCGGGAACGGCCAAAGUCAGGGCUGCCACGCCUGCUGAAAUCCCCUUGUCCAAAGUCGCCAAAUCUAUCAGAAUGACUGAAACUAGACCUGCCAAACUCAUUGGAAGGUCGUCUGAAACCUCCAGAACCACCACGGUUUCUCGAACCAGAGUCACGGAACCCACCACCGCGAUCAAAGGAACCACCAAUACUGUCAAAAUCACCAGACCCACUGGAGCGGCGAUCUCCAAAGCCACCAAAACUUUCACGGCCAAAAGACCCACCCGUUCUUCUGCUUCCAACUGAUCUAGAGCGAGUAUCUCUCAUGACAUUAAACAUGUCUGCAGCCUCAUCUGCAACUGGCAUCUUUGGAAGCUGCACGCGGUAAAUGCAAAUAAAGUGAAUUGAGUUUCCAUAUCUCAUCUCAGAUACCAAAAUAGCUUCAUCAGGAUUCAAGAUGUAUGGUUCCUAAAGUACUUUACCUCUGUGAACCUGCAUCCUAUAUCUUGCUCAAUGACCCUUACAGCUCUAGUUUGUUCAUAUGUGUAUAUCAAAAUUGCACUGCCUUUCUUCCCCGCCCGUGCAGUUCUCCCAGAUCUGUGAACAAACAACUCUGAGGUAUUUGGAAUCUCAUAAUGUACCACCUGAAUAGAUAGGGGGGGACAACAGUUCUUAGUCAAAAACUCAAAACUAUGUAAAUAAAACGAGUCAGCAGACAUACUUUCUGGGAAUUGAAAAGGUAUGUGUGGUAAACAUCUGCAUAUAAUAUGCCCCAGGUUACUUACCAGAUCAACAUUGGGAAUGUCUAAUCCACGAGCUGCAACAUCAGUUGCCACAAGGAUAUUGAAGCGGCCAUCACGAAAUCCUGAGAGUGUCCUCUCUCUUUGAUUCUGUGAAAUAUCCCCAUGUAGCGCCUGACAUGGAUAACUCCUGCCCAUAACAUAUGCCAAUCUAUCCGCUUCUCGUUUAGUUUGAGUAAACACAAUGCAUUUUCCACCAUUAGCAUGCUCCUGAUGAUGUGAGAGGGGAACAUGAUUAUUUUUUUUUUCAACAGGCAAACCAUGAAACACAUAUGCACACAGGAGAAUACUCACUUUAAUCAAUGGACCAAGAAUUGAUGGCUUCCCAAAGUUGUCAGAGGCAAUGGAAUAGAGAGAGAUUCCUUCUGGCAAUUUCUGGUCUGAGUCACCAACCUGAGGAAGAAGAGAAGUAAAUGUCUGGGAAAGAAUGUAUCAUAUGCUGUACCGAGAAGAAAUCCAGAUAAUAAAGUUCAAGUGCUGAUUUGGUGUUCUUUUUCUAUGAAGGAAAAUUUUGAUGCUCAUCUGAUGCAUCAAAUAAUGUCUCUAGUCUCAGGAAGAUCUAUCCAAGGCAGGACUUCAUAUAUACUUGUAUACAACAGGACGCAUGAUUUUCAUGAGAAGCUAGGAAAAGUAAGAUAUAAGUAACAAGCAAAUAAGAUAAGAAGUCACUCACAAGGUCAAUUAUAACUGGAUCCUUUAAGUACUUGUUUGAAAUUUUUCUUAUCCAACUAGGAAUUGUUGCAGAGAACAGCAUACUCUGACGGUUCUGUGGCAACUGCUCCAUGAUCACCUCAACAUCUUCAUCAAAACCCACAGCCAGCAUCUGAUCAGCUUCAUCUAGAACCACAAACUGGAUCUCUGAAAGGUUUAAAACACCUCUUCUCAAAAGAUCAAUAAUUCGACCUGGAGUUCCAACCACUAUGUCAACACCAUAGUUAAGAACUCUCAUUUGCUGAUUGAUAGGAACACCUCCAUAGACACAGAGAGUGUCCAAUGGAGCAGAUUCUCUAAAUUCCUUCUCAACCUGUCGAGCAAGUUCUCUUGUUGGCGCCAAGACUAUGGCUAAAGGAUUCCUACUGCUUCUGCACACAUCACACUAUGCAAUUAUUACAAUAAAUUCUAUCUCUCUGGUAUAUAAAUUGAAAGAAUUCCAAAUGUGAAAGAGAAACUAACCCAUUCUUCUCAUUGUAGCUAAUAAUCCUGUCCAUAAUAGGAAUACCAAAAGCCAAGGUCUUUCCAGUUCCUGUUCGAGCACGGCCAAUCAUGUCUUUUCCUUGCAUUGCUGGCUCAAGAACAGCCCUCUGGAAAACAAGUAGCAUGAACCGGAUCAGAUUGUAAAACCAACAUAUUUACAUGUAUAGCAUCCUUUCAAAUGGCAGCAUAAAAUAGGUUCAGGCACUUGGUGCCCGUUGUUCUGAACUUCUGAUCACCUAAGAUGCUUAAUAACUACAUGAGUGGUCUCUCACAAAUAUAUUGCACAUAGAAAUUAGUUACAAAAUAUAUAGGUCACAGCAUAUGGAGCCAGCAUAUAGACUUAAGCAAAAAAGGCAUCUUAUACCUAGUUUAGGCUCAAAGGAAGCAUACAGCAGGACGGCACAGAGUCUGCAUUAUAAUCUACUGAUUCCAGUUUAACAGUUCCAAGCAAUACUACAGCUUACAGGUCUAAACCAAAAUCGCUGCAAAACCAUCAAUAGGGUGCAGAAUACAAAUUCAGGAGCUCGCAUUACAUCAUACAGAUUACUAUACAUCCCUGAUGCUAAAAAGUAUGAAAUGCCUUUUGUCCCUUCCAUAAAACAACUAUAUCGAAUUCGAUGAAAGCUACCAUUUCAGUAAUCCUCUGCUCAUAUGCAUCAACGAGUCAUAUUGUAAACCUAACUAUUUACAUAUAUAGCGUCUUUUCAAUGAAGAUGGCAGCUGGAAACAGGUGCAGAUGCACGGCACUUGUUCUGAUCUUGCGAGUUUCUUAGUAACUAUGAGGGUGGUUUUUAGUGCACAAAGAAAUUAGUUGCGAAACAAGGAUAGGACACACAUACAGAGCAAUCAUACUGACUUAGCAUUUUAGCAAAAAGGCAGGUUAUGCCUAGUCUAGGUUCACAGGAUGGAUACAGCAGGAUGACAAAGGGCUCUGUUAUAAUAUACUGAUUCUAACUAUUGGUUGCAACACAUCUUACAGGUUUGAACCAAAAUCAUGCUGACGUCAAACUUUCAAAUUUGCAAACGCACCAGCACUCAGCACGUUGCAGUUGCAGAUUAAAGGUAUUAGGAGCUCAGUUAUUUAAAUUAUAUCAUUGCCGUGUACAGUCCUGAUGUUACAAAAUUAAGAAAUACAUUUUCCUCCGUUCAACGAAACAAUUCCAUGGGACUCAGUUAAAGCUAGCAUUUCGGUAGCGCUUAAUUUGUUUCACAUCCCACAAUUCGAACAAUCCAGAAGCUCAAAAGGACGCGAGUACCAUUUUCCAUUCAAAAUCAGACCAAAUUGAGAAAAGCCUGACAGACUGCAACCUCCGAUCAGAACGCGACAGGAGGCACCUGGAUGGGGAAGAGCCUGGUGAUGCCCCGCGCGGCGAGCUUCUCCACGAUCCGCCCGGAGAUCCCCAGCUUCGCGAUUUCCAGCCCGCCGUCCUCCCCCGCCGCCACGCCCGCGUCCAGUCCAGACCCAGCCCACGAGGCAGGCGUAGCCCUGAACCCCAGGGGGCUCGGCGUGCCGUGGAACGCCCGCCUCGGCGGCUCGAGCGCCGGCGCGCGGCGUACGGGGCCGGGAGGGGCCGCCGGCGGGGAGAGGAGCGCCGCGAGGAGGGUCCUCUGCCACCGCGCGGCGGCCGGCGGCGGGGUGGGGCGAGGGCGCGGCGGAGCAGGGAGAUCAUCGGCGCGGCGGUGGAGGGGAGUGGCAGCUCGUGGCGGAACUAAAACCUCGGGCUCGUGCUGGGGAGGAAGGAAUCGAGGGAUAUGACGAGAUUUUUUUUUCCCCUCCUCCUCCAUUUUCUCGCGGGCUCGUUGGGUGGGCUGGGCUGUGCAGAGUACAGAGGCGCCGGGAGAAAUCGGCCCAGCAUGUGUUUCAUUUCUUUUCCUUUUUUGUCUUUGUUUUAUUCAGUGUUCAUGGUUAAUCGAAAAAUAUUCAGCCUUUGAAUAAAAAGACAUAUUCUCUCAUUCUUUUUCCAACACUACCAUUUGUUAAAAAGAUCAGUAUAAUAUUAUUCGGGCCAUGCACUCGAUGAGUUGCAGAUCUGCAUACGACAAAGAUCGAGCUGCCGGGUACUGACAUGCAUGGAUGCAUUGAUGUCUCUCCCUGAGACGGCAUCACGCCAACAAGCAUCUUGCUAUGCUGUGUUCAUGUCAACUCGGAUCAACUGGGCAGCUAGCACAUGAUCCAAGAAGAGACAAGCAAGGGGCAAAAAAUAAUUUUAAAAAAAAAGAAGGAAUAAAACGCCAAAAUGCAAGCAGCCAAUCUGUCUGUCGUAUGCAUGCAUGCAUGCAUGCAACUGGGGCUAAGAGCAAGUUCCGAUGCAUGCCCCUGUUUGCUGGUGCCUUUUUGUACCCAGCUGGCUUGACAAGGUUGAUAUGAUCUGACUAGCAUCCUCAUCAUCCCCUCCUUGACAAAGUAAGCUCUUUCGAUCGACGGUAUCAUUAAAAUUAGGAAAAAUAAUAUAUUUUUAAUCCCUCAAGUAUUGCAAAAAAUGUGAUAUUCAUCCCUCAUAUUUCUUUUGGUACAAAUCAACCCUUUAACUAAUUAAAUUGGUGCAUUUAUCAUCGCAUCUUAGCUCAACAAUAGUUUAGUGUCAUAUAAUAUUGGUUUGGAUCACGUAAUCAUCUAACUAAUCAUUGCUUUGCCAUGUCUAAUGUUAAGUCAAUCGCUAUAAUCGUUCCGUGUGAAUCGGAUCUGUUAUUUUUUAUAACAUUUUUAUGGGUAGCUAAUUUAGAGAAUUUAUGAAGUUUUUAUAGACUUUAUAUCUUCAAGUUAGCACAUUACAUUGCCAAGCAGGGAUUAGUUAGAUGAUUGCAUGGUAUAAAUCACCAUUAGAACACUAAAUCAUUGUUAAACUAAGAUGGAGAUGAUUAAUACGCCAAUUUAGUUAGUUGAUAUGUACCAAAUAAAAUGUGAGGGUGAAUGUCACGCUUUUGUAAUACUUAAAGGAUGAAAAAUAUACUUUUUCCUUAAUAUUAUUAUAACUAGAGGUAGAAAAUAUGUUGUUUCCCGUGUAUACCAAACCUCAAUACCUCCUUAUUAACCAUUUACUUUUAGGCUCCGGCAUAUUUCCUGUGUUAGUUCCCAAAGACCGUCAAAAUAGCAUUUCCUUUUUUUUCUAGCGGAGUAGGAAACUGGAUUUAGGGCUUAAUUCCUUGUAAUCCGAAAGGGUGUAUGCAGCCAGCUGAAAUUGACAAUAUGAUAUCGCCUUAGCAAUUGGCACCAACAAAGGGGAGUUUCGGCACUUAAUCUCGCGAGCCACAAAUUAUUGAUCAAAGAAGAAAUAUUUGGAUGGGCUAAAAUUGAGUGUUAAAUUUUAGCACAUAUUAGCACUUAUGCGCACAUUCUAAUAUUUUUAAAUCUUGACUAAGAUUUAGCUCACUCCAUUAGUACUUUUAUUUGGAUGAGCUAGUGGUAAAGUUUAACACUUUUAUCCACCCAUUAGCAUUUGGAUUAAACAUGACCUUAGGGUGGGUCAAAAUUCUGAUUAGAGCAUCAAUCGUACGGUUGAAGUUCAAGAAAGAACUACAACGACGGCGCGUAGAUUAAAUAGACGCAGCAUAUACAGAUAAAUUAUCUACGAAAAGAUCUAUAAUCGCGUCGUGGUUAGUACGAUGUCAGCACGCGCGCAACCGUGCGAGCAUUUUGCUCGAUCAGCUGGUUGGUUCCAUCCCGUCAGCAAAUUAAAGCCAGCCACAUCGCUGCCAUCCUAGUUAUUUGUUGCGGUUGUGCCUUAGGCCAUAUUUGGUUGCAGGAAUAAAUCUCCAUCACAUCAGAUAUUUGGUACUAAUUAGAAGUAUUAAAUAUAGACUAAUUAUAAAAUUAAUUGUAUAAAUGGAGGCUAAUUCUCGCAGGCUAAUUCGCGAGACGAAUCUAUUAAGCCUAAUUAGUCCAUGAUUUGACAAUGCUGUGUUACAGUAAACAUGUGCUAAUGAUAGAUUGAAUUAAUGUUCAUUCAUUUAUGUAAUUAGUUUUAUAGUUAGAUUAUAUCAGCAUUUAAACGUACGGAUUAAAAAUAAGUACACCCCCUUAGCCUUACCAUUGGAUCGGAUUCCGUGCCAUGUACGUACCUAGUACUAGACCCUCAUUAUUUGUUGUGCGCUUGCCGUACCACCAUUGGGAUGAGGAUCUCGGAUCCCGUGCCAUGCAUGCAGGUGGGCAUGCAAAUAAACAAUGGCGCACAGCAAGGAGCAGAUGAUCCAUCAGGCAUGCAAAUGACACAAAGCAAGAAAGAAUCACGGCCAAGACGCAACCAUCCAAACUACUGCACUGAAGGUAGCAAAGGGUUUCACUGCCGAAACACAGCGAGAGAUGUUCGUCGUCGUCCAUGCAUGCUGGUAGACUGGACACGCGACGCUGGUAGCAUUUUGUUUGCUGCCUCGCUGUUGCGCUUUAAGCAUAUUCGGCUGCUUGACAAGACCGACUCAUCAUCACCGUCGAUCAGGGGAAUCGAAAUAAACGCACAGCUAGCAAUGCUAGCUCGCUCGCUGCACGCGGAUACUCCUUGGUAGAUCCCUGCCACAGUCCUUCCUUGUUACUGACCCGGUGUGUUGGCUCUAUAUGCAGCGUGGAUCCAUAUAUCAUAGGCGCAAACGUGUAAGAUUAUUCCGUUUCAUGUGAGUGUAACUACAUGCAGCAGGUACGUUGUCGCAGAUCAUAGUUAGUAUGUAUGCAUGUAUGUAUGUAACCUGUAUGUGUGUAUCUCUCUCUCUCUCUCUCUCUCUCUCUCUCUCUCUUCAUGAGCACGCAUCCAUCACCAUUCACCAGAUCACCUGGCCGGUUGGCUGGUUGUACCACGUACCAAUUAGGGUUUUUAACUCAGCUACCGAGCUGUGCUGCCCGGCCUUUUUGUCUGGUGAACCUUGGACGUCUAGCCCAUUCGCCACGUCACGCUAAUAAAUCCCCAGACACAUUUUCCGCUCCAUCUAGAUGAGUUUCAUUAAUGGUGUCCGCUUUCGCCCAAAUUUCCACCCUCUCGCGCGGAAGGACGGUUCUACCCUUGGGUUUCCGGUCUUGUUUGUCGGCGUACUCGUCCCGAUGGAUCCCUGCCCUACUCCCAGCUGGAUCCUGGGCCUGAUCGCAGCAGAAGAAUCAGCUCGGCCGACACGCAUCUGCUUUGCGUGCAGCGCAGGACUAUUGUUUGUCGCUCCGAGUUGUAUGUGGAUGAUGACGUGUGCACGGGACAAAGGCCGGCGGCGUGCGUACGGGCAGGGGAAACGGAGGGGAGCACGCAGCACGCGACCGCCGGCCAAGACGUGUGCACCUACAACUAGAUUGAUGGGGGUCGGUCGUUGCUUUAGGUUCCUCGGCACUUGCUUUUCAAUUUGCCACUGAAUAACAUCUAACAAAACCAUGCAUUUCAUCUCAGAAACAUCUAAUUAACAGAUCACAACCUUUUUUCCUACUACAUUAUAAUCUUCUUUCUACUCAUCACCCGGACAAACCUCAACUAACCAUAACAUAUUUUCCCGACAUUAUAGCCUUUCUUCUUCCUGCUCGCCGCAACAUCAACUAAUCAUAAUAUCUUUUUUUUCUACAUUAUAAUACUUCUUCUUCCUGCCUGGUGCAAGCUCAACGAGUCGUGGAAACCCUCGCCCCCGCCCUCGUCCUCUCGAGCCCAUUGGCUAUAUGACGCUCUCUCGCACACACCUUCCCCACAACAACUUACCACCCAACCCAACAACCCAACCCGUGACACAGAUCUUUUCGUAGAUAGCUGCUCCUCCGAAACCCAACCGGGUACUUAUUAUGUUUAUAAGUUCGUUUGGUUUAUUUACGUAAUCGUCUACUGUAACUCCAUAUUUAACUUAAAUGAUAUGGCAGUGCUCCUACUUUCUUUCGUAAAAAAAAAUAAAUUCUAGACACGUUGGAGUCUCAGAUGGGUUAAAAAGAGAAAAGGAAAAAUCCACUCAGCCAGACCAAGCUGCGGUGAAAAUCGAGCGACGGAAGGAGGUGAAUAAUCACACUCUGGACAUCAGCAACAACUUUUUUCGUAAAGAAAAGUUACCCUCGCUCGCUAACCCAAUUGUUACUUGCAUUGCUAGCAACAAGUGAGCGAAAGCAUUAACGCGCUGUAGUUUCUCAUCAACCAUGGCCCGGGCGCCGACCCAACCGUGACAGAGCCAGUAAAUUCCGGCCCGUGCAUCACGUACGCGCAGUACCAGCGAACCGUACGUGCAGGCCGGCCAGCAGGCGCGGCGCACCCAACCCGACGCGACAACCGGGGGCCGGCAUUUCGACCGGGAUGAGACACGCGUACGCACACGCCUGCAGCUCGCACCGUACGCGUACGGGGCUCGCACAGAUUCGCGUGCAGUGCCGACCACCGAAUCCACCCCACAGCUUGGCAGCUUGCGCGCAACUUGCCAGUGGACACUGCGACGACGAGAUGAGCACACUCGCGCCCGUACGAACAAGCACGUCGGGAAAAUUCAUUUGGAACUCUGCAAGAGCAGCAGCAAGAUCGAUCGUCGAUCAAUCGAGUACAGACUUAGCGAUGCGUGGCCGGCGCCGCCGCGGCGGGGGCGGAGCUUCGGAUGGCGCGGCUGCCUCCGUCGAACCGGCGGCGCUGGCGGACGACGACGACGACGACGCGGUUAUUGCUUUGUGCGGCGGCGUCGGCGUCUGUUUGGGCGCGGCUGGAGUGACGACGACGGCCGGCGGGGGGACGUCGUCGUCGGUGCUCGCCUGUUCGAUGGCCUGCUGCUGGUGCUUCCGCCGGGCGUGUUCCUUGGCCAGCUCGCGCGCGAAGCGCUCCAGCUUCUCGGCGUUGGUCUCGCCGGCCACCUUCCUGCCCUGGAAGAGCACCGACUCCACGCUCCUCUGCAGCAGCAUCGCCUCCGCCUUCCACACCGCCUGCUCCCCCGUCUCGCCGCCGCACGCCCGGGGCGCCCGCCCGCCGCCGCCGCCGCCGCGACGGCUCCCCGUGCCCUGCACACAGUACUCAAGCCGCAGUUAGUUAGCUGCCAAUCGUCUUCUACCACUCAAAAUAACUUGACAAUCAUGCCAAUUACUCCUAGCUAGUAGAAAACGAUUGAUUACUGCUACUGUUACCUGGAUGCGGAUGUAAUUGGUCGUCCUGCUGUGUCCGAACGCCAUGGCGACAGCUUGAUCCACCUAAACCACCAACAACAAGGCCAGAUCGGAUCACGCGCCGUACGGCAUGGCAUUCAUAACUCGCUCUCGCGCGUACGUACGUACAAUGAAACCGCAGCGCGCGCGCGCGAGAAUUUAUUGCGUUCGAGGUGGGGGGCGAAUUGAAAGGACGCGGGAUCGAUCGAGCAGCAAUGGCCGUACCAUGUCGGACACGCCCUCGGCGGCGAUCCGGGCGACCUCCCCGCGCCCGGCGGCCUCCCCCGUGCCGAUGGACAUGACGAGGAGGUUGUCGACGGUGGCCGCGGCGGGGAACUCGCGCCGGUUGUUGAGCACGUGCGUGAUCGCGGCCGCCGUGGGGUUGCCCAGCGCGGCGCCGCCGCCCACGGCGCGGAUCCGGGUGCCGCCAUCCACGGACAAGACCUCUACCGCCGCGGCACCCGCGCACGUCGCGGCGCAGACGUCCCGGAGCCGGAAGUCGUGCGCGGGGGACUCCGCGGCGUCGGCGCGGGAGAAGAGGAACGGCGCCCGCGUGCCGAGGUCGUAGCACGGGACCAGCACGGGGCGCACCGUGUCCCGGAGCGUGAGCUCCCCGAGCGCCCGCCCGAAGGCGGACCCCGCGCCGCCGCGGCGGACGAGACCGGCGGGCCAGCUCCUCCCGCGCCGGACGCGGCGGAGCAGGAACGCGAGCGCGUCCUCGGCGGCGUACAGGGGCCGCCCGCGCGGGCCGCGCGCGAACAGCAGGGCCGCGAGGACGCCCCCCGCGCCGGACCCCGCCGCGACGUCGAAGAAAUCGGGCAGCCGCGCGGCAGGGCUCCCCGCGCGCCGCCGCAGCGCGGCCUCGAGCCGCACGAGCGCGGCGCCGGCGAGGAGCCCGUCGGACGCGCGCGCGCCGCCGUCGAUGGAGAGGACGCACACCUUGCCCGGCGCGCGCGGGGGGCCGGCGGCGGCGACGUCGGCGCGGCCGAAGAGGAACUUGGCCUCGAGGAGGGAGAAGAUCUCGUAGGUGAGCCUGCCCGCCGCGUCGUCUCCCUUGGCGCCCUCCUCCGCCCCCGCCGCGAGAUCCGCGGCGGCCUCCAUGGCUAGGCUCGGCUCCGCGUCCGUCCGGUGGUCGCCGUGGCGCGCGCGGUCCCUGGCCGGCAGAGCCCGGGUUUUAUAGUGGGGGAGAAGGCGGGAGAGACGGCGCAGCGUGGCAGCGUACGUGCGUGUACUGUGCACGUACAGCGGUUGCCUCUACGUAUACUCUUUCACCGUAUAAGAAUUGAUGCCGUGUGUACGUAUACGUUAUGGGCGCCGUACUGGAACGAGCACUAAUGAUUUUUAGUAUUUUGCCGUCUAGUGAACGUACGUAAGUUACGAUGUCUGAGCUGAUAUUAGCACCUAACCGCAAUGGAUCGAUGCAGUUUUUCCAUCAGAAAUUUAAUUCUAAUUACUAUCGCCGUCUUUAGUAAUCUAGCAUAAAGGACUUUUCGGGCUUAAUUUUCCAAAUCGAUUCGCUGUAUCGACCUGUCCAUGGAGGGAUUUUUUGGGUCCUUUUUAAAUAUCGAUGAAUGAUAAAUUUUGUCGAGGUUUUCAAUUGUUGAUCUAAUGACAAACUUUUAAAAUUUUAUCUAGGUUUUCAGUUGUCGGAUCUGUAUCAGGUUUACUUUUCUUUUUCUCUUAUGCACACCAUCUUACACCUCUUGAUAUAAUUCUCGUUCACAUAUCAUAGCCACUUUUCUUCCCACAUUCCUCUCAUCUCUCAGCCUUACCAUCGUUUGCAACGUACAUCGAUGACAUUGGGUCCAGUAUUGAUGCUCAUUCCUUCUUUGCUCUUUAUCUGCGCACUUAUGCUAGCAAUGCACUAUAAGCUCUCUCACUGCUGCCACCAACCUUAACCACCGUACCUAAGGUGCACGAUCUCGCUAGCAACCAUCAUUUGCGCCCCCCUCCCCCCCACAUUAUUACUCCAUUCUAAAUUACUAGUCGUUUUGAUUUGAUUUUUUAGGUGUAUAAUUUUUACUAUACAUCUAGAUAUAUAUUAUAUCUACAUGUAUAGAAAAAUCUACCAAAAUGACUAAUAAUUUAGAACGAAAGAAGCAAUUAAUAGCGCUAAUAUCACUUCGUCAUCCUACCCACCACUCACCACCACCAUCAGGUGGGCUAUCCUUGUGCACGUACGACUCCCUACGUCCAAAAAAUCUCUCGGACCCCUAAUAUAACAACAAACCCUAACUUAGACUAUAUCAAAGAUAAAGAAAAGUUGGCACGUUUAAUUGGCCUCGUUAAAUUAAAUGGCAGAUAUUCAACAUGAGUCAUCACUCAAUCUUGUCAAAGACAGAGACGCAAGGUGCACGUUAGUCGUCAACCGGCGUGAACCUCUAGCGACGCACAGACGCACAGUGCACCGACCACGCGAUUGGUACGGAGCCAGCCGACGGAGCCACCGAUAUCAGCUCUAUGGGAUACCGUGUCACGUGUCAGCUCCUUAGGCCGUGUCCAACAGUUGAGCCGGCUCGCUAGCUCUUAGCAUGAUGUGGCGAUUCUAUACCCAUCAGUCUAACGCUUGCACAUGUCUUGAGGUUUCAUGGAACUCAUAUGUAAGCAUUUUUUUACUCGUUCAAUCACUACUCCUCAGUACCGGAUCAUUUUUACGGCGGUAGUUUUGAUAUGGAUGGAAAUGUAGUAUCAGAUCGUGUUACCGUCCGGUACUAAAACAUUCUCCAUAGAUUAUUUUAAAAGAAAAAUAUGUUCCAUUCAAUCACAAUUGCUGUAUAGGUAAGAUAGUAAAGGAGGUACACGCGAGGUAAGAGGUUGCGGAUUUGAAUCUGGCACUGUAUACCUGCGAUGUGCGUGACCUCUGCCUGAUUUAAUAUAAUUUUUUAAUAAAAAUACUUUAGUGAAGACUGUAAUUUUUAAUUUCGAUCUCACAGUACCGCUUCUGUAACCAAUGCCUAAUACCCUUAUCACCUAGUACUCGGUACUCGCCCGCAGCGCGAGCCCAUUUGCCCGCCGCCGAGCAUCGCGGGGCUUCAACUCGGGAGACGUGAUUAAGCUAGUCUCUUGUCCCCACGCUAACGCGAAGCUUUUCUUCCUUUCUCUCUCUUCGACGGCAGCAGCAAUCCAACGUGGUCAGCUAUGAGCUAGCUGACCUUAGCUGAAUAGUAUAGAACAGUAGUUUUUUUUAUUGAUUUUGCAGCGACUCAUUGUUGCCGCGCGAGCGCCGUCAGCUCCGGCCGGAUCGAAGCCGGCAAGCCGCGGGGGCCAGCGAUCGUGCUGGCUGUGCCUAACAGCAGGUAGCAGCUGCUUCCCCUGCAUGUGUACAUUGCGCGGCGUGGUCCCCGGCCGGCCGGCCAGUCGCCAUGGAUCCGGGGGUGGUCGAGCUGCUUGUAUGCGGCAGGUGAGGCGGAGGCCCGCGAUCGGCGCGGGAGCAAUAAGCGCGGCCGCGGCGCGUACCGACGGCGUAUACGUACGGUUGGAUCGGAGAAGAUAAUUGGGAUCGGCAGCCAGCGUACGCAUCGGAAUCGCCGGAUCUGCCGGCCGGUCGCAAGGUUAAUGCGCGACGGCCCCACGCGUCGUCGUCGUCGUCCUCGCGCGAUCUCUCUCCCCCUGCCUGGGCUGGGCCACGGGUAUCCUAGGCCAUGAUCCUCUUCAACAUCGGAUUCCGUUCCGUCCAUGCCCCGCUGCUAUUUCCCAUACUACAUCAUUGCCACUGUUAAGCUCCGAGGCGUCACGGAAAUUAGCCAACCACCGUGCAUUAAGCAUUGUUACUCUCGUCUCGCAUCGCCUGCCGCUGAAAGAACAUUAGCAAGGUCGGUUCUUGAUUGAACGACUUUUCUACUGCUUGCUAUCCUGCUUUGUAUAGCAGGUGAUGAUGCAAUGAAGUAAACAGAUAUGCUUGUAUCGUACGAUCUUGAAUUCUUGAUCAAGGAUGCCACGCCACCUAUGAGAAACUUUCUUGAUGGCCUUGCUCCUAGCAAAUUUUGAUGACACGAUUCACACGUGUUCAGUUGGUAAUAAUUUUCCAACUUGUCAUAAAACACUGAGAUGGAUGCUUUAUUUCGCUGCUCCAAACUCCAAAGAGGCUCGUUCAUGAAUCACGCUCCGCUUUGUUCGUGCAUGUGUGUUGCUAUACGUGUACGGACUCGUCACGUACGCGCUUAGCCAGUAGUGUGCCGGUGACUAUUUAUACCGGGAGUGGUGGAGUAGAGUGGCGGCGCUUGGUUUAUUUUGGUGUGGCCGGACGUGUUGUUGUCCUAGUCCAAAAAUUAUUUGUUCGAGUUUGUUAACGGGCCUGUGAGAACUCAGAUGUAACGGGCCAACAUCGGUCCAACUCAUACGUAGUGCUCAAUGGGCUAUAUCAGGCUCAUUUAUGGGCUUGUAACGCACGCAUGAUGUAUGCGUGAUGGGCCGUUCCAAAACCAUCAACCCAAGUAGUAGUAUUUGUACUUGGAUCAAGCGGCGAUCUUAGUGCAUGUCUUCUGUCAACAUGUAAAACCUUUUUACCAGCUUGGGGAGGCAUGCCUCAUGUCGAGAAUGGGGCUGCCUCUGGUUCAGUAGAAAUGUUCUCCUAACGCAAGUUUGCACUGGUCGAGGUGAAGAUUGCAGCUAGUUCCUGUGUUUGAGAUCAACAGCUAUUUUGGCUUCUAUUGUUUUUGCAUCAAUGUAUCGUUCACUUAAUCUUGUAUUUGGGCUAUUCCGAUCCAUGCAAACAUCUGUCACUUUAUCCCUAGAUUUAGGGUCUCGCAUUUUGUGCGCAAAUCUCCAACAUUGCAAGUGCCUGAAAUCUAGUGUUGUUCAUGAACAUGUUGAAAAUAACAAAUUUUCAUUUGCACGCACAUGAUGAAACCUUGUAUGCUUAUCGUAACUGCUGGUAGAUUCGAUUGGUGUUCUCUCUCGUAUUUACCUAUCAUGUUACCAGAACCUACUGCAGGAAUUAGAGAUGCAAGUUAUAUAUAUUUUGAAUCAUUGGAUGGAUCAAAAAAUUGAUAAAAUAAAUUAGAAUGGUAUUUUGCGUAAAUAGCUUGAGAUAAAAAAUGAACUAGAGCAGCGUACCAUCGUAAUUAAUUAGCUGAUCCAAAAAAUACUAUUGGGUACCAACUUGCAUCCUUAGCAGGAACGUCUAAUCACUACUGCAGAUUGGGUCAUUGCAAACACCUCCAUCACUGCUGAUUUGAACGAAACCGACAAUAACAGUCUAUCACAAUCGAAUCAUGAUAGAUUCAACGAGCAUCCCCGCUAUCUUUCCCCUCUCUCCCCCUGCCCCCUCCCUCGCUGCCACCUCCCUUUCCCUCUUUCACCUUCCCUCUCUCACCUGGCGGACAGGCCCGGGCACAUGGGAAUGCGGCCCGUGCAGCCGUACAGGGCCCCCAAUUUUCUGGGGCCCCAAAAUAUUUCCGUAGCCUCUGGAUGAAGCCCAUUAAAAGUCAGCUCCUGUCCUGUUUUGUUCCUAGCUAGCUGGCCCAGAUGCAACUGAGAACUGACGAACGGCCGCACGCCCUUGGCCAAAACAAAAGGCCCACCGAUUGCCCAGUUGCCGAUUCAUCUUCACGAAGCCGUCACGACUCGUGCUCGAAGCGGCAGCAGCGGCAAGCGGCGCUGCGACGACGAUCGCGACACCGGGGCAGGCGGUGCGGCAGCCGGCCGGCAACACCGGGGCAGGCAGCCAACGCAUUCAGCAACUACUGCAAAGCAAUUGACAGCGGCUCAAGGAGAAGGUAAAUAAGUAUUAUUUUCUCCAACUGUACUGAUUUGCUUGUAUCCUUUGAAUCUUCAAUAGAUUUUUGUUCUUUCAUCUUUUGUGUUACAAAGAUUGAUUGGAGUUAUGCCUUCUGCAAAUCAAUCUAGAAAAUAUGAUUCUGGCAGCCAAAAGCAUAAAAAAGCAAAAAAAUAGAUGACUUAACUCAAUUUUAGAAAGAGGCUAUGGAUAGAUUUAUUGUAAAAGAAUCACAGUGUCCUCCAAUAAUCAGAUACUUGAUUAGGACCCUAUACUAUACUAUAUUUAAUAUUUGAUUGUUCUAUUUCGCUAGUCCAGUAGGCCUCACUUUAAAGUUUUGAACGGACCCCAGUUUAUGCUGGCACGACCCUGCUGGCGGAGUCGCGCCGGCGCGGAUUGAGCAGCCCCUCCCUCACCGGCACCUCCUCCCCCCUCUCACGCCACGUAGAGCUGCGGCGGCGCGCAUCAAGGCGCCCCUCCCCUUCGCUCUCCCGCCACGCGGAGCCGCGGCUGCGAGAGAGGGGCCCCGGAGGCGCGGAUCGAGCCACCCCUCCCCACCCAAUGGAGGGGCUGCGCAGGUCCGUAUAUUAUGCAGUGCAAAUGGCGCGACCGCUCAGGGCCCCCUAAUUAAUCAGUAGCUGUUAAUUAGAGCCGCCCGCGAUACCCAUUAUUCAGCAGUAGCUCUUCACACAGGUGAAUAAGACAAGAGUCUAUAGAUGAGAAUUAAAUUUGAAGGACAUACAUUACAUUUCCCCGUGGCCUCGCUGCCUCUAGAAUUAUUAUGGGGUAUUUUGAUCCAAGUGCUAAUAUUUAAAAGUGCUAAAGUUUAGCACUAACUCAUCCCAAGAAGAAUGUUAAUAGGGUGGGCCUAACUUUAGCCAACAGUCAAAAACUUUAGAAGCAGUAUGAAUGCGAAUAGGUGCUAAAAUUUAGCACUCAAUUUUAACCCAUCCAAAUAGGCCCUUAGACAGUUUGACUUCGACAGUUCGUCUAUUCGCCAUGCACGCAGGAGCGCAGGACGCACCGCGCUCGACGCAAUCGCCACGAAGCGCCAACGCUGUGACCUUCCGCCCGUAGUCGUGACUCGUGAGUUGCUAACUUGCCGAUUGUCGCUGACUAUUAGUCUAUUAAUAUCUUGCUGGGUUGUCGACUUUCUAAUUGUCACCGAGACACUAAUUAUAUUUAAUAGAGGUUAAGAAAAUAUUGAUAAGCAAGAUUCGUCAUUUUCUACUUUAGCAUGAUUUAUUAUGGUAUUUCUUAGCAUUCCAAACAAAUGAAGUUAAAUAAUAAAUUUCAAUAUAUUUUGAUUAUUUAUAUUAUGGAAUGUAGAGCCCCAUUUUAUAUCUUGCACCAGGGCCUAAAAAAUUUUGAUACGGCCUUGUGGCUGUGGUGACGGCGGCGCGAGGGCCGGCAGUAGCAGCACGGAGCCGCAGCGGCGAGGGGCCGUGUACAGGGUGGAGCCGCGGCGCGAGGGUUGGCGGCAGCGACGCGAGCCGCGGUGGUGAGUAGGGUGGAGCCCCUAUUUUUUUUUCAAGAAAUGGCAUCGCCACUGGUUCUAGACCCAGCGGUGAUGGAUCCUCCCAACCUGCAGUGAUGAUCUUGUCUGUAGUAGUAAAUUUAUAUGGGCGCAUCAUAUCUUAUCACUUCGCUGCACAUGUCGGAUUGAAAACUUACAAGCCAUUCUUUACAGGCAACAGCCAACAGAAACCGGCUACCAAGUCAAAGGCACAGCCUGUUCGUAGCAUACAAUGGCAGCAACCAGCUCUCCAAUUAUAAAAUCCGUAUGGAAACAGCAAGAGAGAGGAGUUGCCAUGCUUCAUGGCAAGAUAGAAAUUAUCUAGAAUAAGAUAUUUUGCAUGGCUGGAUAAGGAUGUGGGCUAAUUAUAGAGUUAGAUAUUUAUUAAAUAAAAGUGUGGAAAUUGCUACAUGGCAACACCACAGCACCUAUAAGUAUCUAUAAAAAGAGAUACUCUCCUCCCCUCUUGACAUACCACAACACCCAUGUCACGGAUGUCAUCUCACUACAGGUCUAAAAAAAAGUAACAGUCAUAUAGUAACAUGAUUAUCUGUGGAACAAUUAAGCAAAAGCCAGAAAUAAAAUUGCAAGGAACUAAAGUGAAUUGAUUGUAACAUAGUCCGAAGGUCAUUUGCGCCCCCACUUCCAGAACUUGAGACUCAAUUAUUGCAGCUUUUACUUGCGCCUGAAGAAUGCGUUGACAGCGUUCAUAACAACAGUAGUGAACUCAAAAACCAUCCUCUUCAUCUUCUCUUCAUCUACCUCGUCCACGACACCCUUAAUCUCAUGGGCGACCUUCAAGAACUGAUCAUGCAUUAGCACCAUGACUUUAUGUAGAAUUACCUUGAAGACAAACAUUUUGCUACUAUGAGAGCACCAAGCAUCAUUGUGCGUAGAAAUUUGAUUGGGAGAUACUUGAGUUGCCUUAUAAGAUGAUGUGACCUCUGUUGUGAUUCAACCCUGCAAUCACGUACCCAUAGCACAACCAUUCGGAUCAACAUACAGUUUGGUAUGAAGGAUGGUCGCUUAACUACUAAAGCCACAUAGAAAUAGUAGAUACCUAUUCUUUAAAGUUCCGAAUGAGUACCAAUAUAUUCAAGCGGUCUAAGAUGCAAGUCUCCACAACAGCAAUAUAGGAAUAAAACCAGGUCAAGUAAUUAAGAACAGCAUAAAACAAGCAACGCAAACAUGAGGGACUUGUUCAGGCGCAGAUUCAGGAUGAUCAAGUGCAUCUUCUGCUGCACAACCAAAUCAGUUUAUUGGAAAAAAAGCACAAGCUAAGCCGCAACACAAGAACAAUACAUCAUAAAUGUUAUACGACGGUGACAAAUCAAAUUGAUAAGUGGAAAUAUGCAAGUUUACCAUCAUUGUAGGAUGAAAAAUAGAGUCUCAACAACACUAAGAAGUAAGACCCAGCUUAACAGCUAGCAAACAAGUCCAUUUUGUUCAGGGAUCUGGCAAUCUAGCUUAACAUAGAAACAAAACAAAGUCUGCAAUUUUCAUGAAAUAGCAACUCAGCGGCCCAAACCGUUCUUAGAUUGUUCUAAAACCACUUCCAAAAUUUGAAGAUGUCAUUGAUGGUUCUGCGGAACUCCUCCUGUACCUUGUUGCCGAAGAAAUUCCAGAUGGUCUUCAUGAAUUUCUUUGCCAGUAUCUUGCCAGCAGCUUGAGCUUUUAAUCAUCAAGUCCGGCCUUGCCCUUGAACUGCUUGAUGACCUCAUCAACGAUAUCCAAAAGCUGAGCUGAUACCAGCAUCAUAACAACUGGGAGAACCUCUAUGAUGGCCAUUUAGGCCAUGGAGAAGAGGAAACCAAGUAGAAACACCACAACGGUAUAGGGGAGCAUCAAGACACGAUGCAAUAGCGUCUUUGAAUUGGCAUUUGCUUCCUGCUUGCAAAUAGCACCGAAAAUUAGCAACAAAACCAAAUCUAAUGGAGGCAACCUUUCACAAAGCCAUUAGCUUGCAAACCAAUCUAGUUGUAACACAGAAACACAAGAUGAUCAAGAUUAAUACCUUGAAGUUUCAGAGGACUUGACAAGAUGGGUGUUUGUCUUUUCUAGUCGACGAACCAUAUGCUUGAUGUUCUGGAUCUCCGCAUAACUCUUCUUGUCCCUCAGGUGCGUUAUCCUCUUGGGGUAGCACCUUACCCUUGAUCCCACAGGCUUGGACCCUCCGGUGGCGCGGUCACCUAGGCCGCCACCUCCAGCAUCUUUUCGGGCUGUGGUCGCCGGGGGCGCCACCUCCCGUGCCCGUGCCCGCUCCCGCUCCUACGCCGGUGACGUUGUUGCUGUCGUUGUUCACUUAGUCUCUUGCGUUGUCCUCAGUGCCGGGUCUGGCCGUGUAGCCUCGCCAGGCCAUGCCGAGCCUAGCAGCGGCGAAGGGAGGAAAACCCAUAGCACCAUACAGCUUCUUGCAGUUGACAGGUCCCCAUGC
This 21061-nucleotide long non-coding RNA is filed under the name Panicum hallii. Its description in RNAcentral is "long non-coding RNA (PHAL_LNC000108)". The record is from RNAcentral. Lineage: Eukaryota; Viridiplantae; Streptophyta; Magnoliopsida; Poales; Poaceae.